Non-coding RNA from Oryza glaberrima (African rice), 189 nucleotides. Lineage: Eukaryota; Viridiplantae; Streptophyta; Magnoliopsida; Poales; Poaceae. The record is from Rfam.
AAUAAGUAUAAUUAUAUAGUCUAUAUCCAACGUUUAACGAUUCGUCUUAUUUAAAAAAAUUAUGAUUAGUAUUUUUUAUUGUUAUUAGAUGAUAAAACAUAAAUAGUUCUUUAUAUGUGACCUUUUUUAUUUUUUUAUAAUUUUUUUAAAUAAGAUGAACGGUCAAAUAUUGGACAAGAUGCACUUAUU